UACUACCGAAGCUACGGCAUCAGUAAUGAUGGGUAGGGGAGCUUCCCAUACGGGUUGAAGCAUGACCGUAAGGACAUGUGGACAGUAUGGGAGUGAGAAUGUUGGCAUGAGUAGCGAGAUGUGGGUGGGAAUCCCACAGGCCGUAAACCCAAGGUUUCCAGGGGAAGGUUCGUCCGCCCUGGGUUAGUCGGGACCUAAGCUGAGGCCGAAAGGCGUAGGGGAUGGACAACAGGUUGAUAUUCCUGUACUACCGAUAACCGUUUGAGAGAAGGGAUGACACAGUAGGAUAAGCUAAGCACACUGUUGGUUAUGUGUGCCCAAGCAUUGAGGCAGUCAAAGUAGGCAAAUCCGCUUUGAUAAUGCUGGGAUGUGAUGGGGAGCGAAAUUUAGUAGCGAAGUAGCUGAUUUCACACUGUCAAGAAAAGUCUCUAUCGAGGUUAAAGGUACCCGUACCGCAAACCGACACAGGUGGGUGAGG
Molecule: ribosomal RNA, 478 nt
Filed under: Clostridioides difficile
Lineage: Bacteria; Bacillati; Bacillota; Clostridia; Peptostreptococcales; Peptostreptococcaceae
Description: bacterial LSU rRNA
Rfam family: Bacterial large subunit ribosomal RNA
Source: RNAcentral